Molecule: non-coding RNA, 405 nt
Organism: Melozone crissalis (California towhee)
Lineage: Eukaryota; Metazoa; Chordata; Aves; Passeriformes; Passerellidae
Source: the annotation of a RefSeq genome assembly
GCGGCCAUGACCCUGCUGGAGUGCGGGGGAGACCUCCAGCCCCCCGGGGGGUCCCUGCGCCUCCUCUGCCGAGGGUCCGGGUUCGAUUUUGGCAGUUCUGACUUUGAAUGGAUCCGCCAGAGACCUGGGCAGGGACUGGAAUACGUCGCCUAUAUCAACACUGGCAGCACCACCUGGUACGCGUCGUCGGUGCAGGGCCGGUUCAGGAUCUCCAGGGACAACGGGCAGAGCUCGGUGACGCUGACCAUGAAGAACCUCAAGGACGAGGAUUCCGCCGUUUAUUUCUGCGGGAAAUCUGCCUAUAGUAGUUGGGUUGCUGCUGUCUAUGACUUUGACCAUGGCCCAAUCCCUGUGUCCCCAUCUGUUCCUGUUUUCCAGACCUUUCCCCCACACCCCAGCCCCUGA